UCUUAUGUACAUGCCUACAACUUUAAUGCAAUGGAUCCCAUUAGAACUCAACAGUUAAGUGUGUUUGGGAUAGGGUAGUACUCAGAUGGGUGACCUCCUGAGAAGUCUCGGUGUUUUACAUGCA
Non-coding RNA from Picea glauca (white spruce), 124 nucleotides. Lineage: Eukaryota; Viridiplantae; Streptophyta; Pinopsida; Pinales; Pinaceae. The record is from Rfam.